AUUGAUCACUAGGGGAGUCUUUUAAGAAGACUGAGACAGAGGUUCUGGACCCUUUGAACUUGAUCCAGUUGAUGCUGGCGUAAGGAAGUGGCUGUCUUUUUCG
This 103-nucleotide non-coding RNA is filed under the name Bacillus sp. (in: firmicutes). Its description in RNAcentral is "Bacillus sp. TPP sequence". It matches the Rfam family "TPP riboswitch aptamer (THI element)". From Rfam's summary of the family: Vitamin B(1) in its active form thiamin pyrophosphate (TPP) is an essential coenzyme that is synthesised by coupling of pyrimidine and thiazole moieties in bacteria. The previously detected thiamin-regulatory element, thi box was extended, resulting in a new, highly conserved RNA secondary structure, the THI element, which is widely distributed in eubacteria and also occurs in some archaea. The record is from RNAcentral. Lineage: Bacteria; Bacillati; Bacillota; Bacilli; Caryophanales; Bacillaceae.